Molecule: ribosomal RNA, 481 nt
Filed under: Flavobacterium sp. DB3.2-1
Lineage: Bacteria; Pseudomonadati; Bacteroidota; Flavobacteriia; Flavobacteriales; Flavobacteriaceae
Description: bacterial SSU rRNA
Rfam family: Bacterial small subunit ribosomal RNA
Source: RNAcentral
UUGAUCCUGGCUCAGGAUGAACGCUAGCGGCAGGCUUAACACAUGCAAGUCGAGGGGUAUUUAUCUUCGGAUAGAGAGACCGGCGCACGGGUGCGUAACGCGUAUGCAAUCUACCUUUUACAGAGGGAUAGCCCAGAGAAAUUUGGAUUAAUACCUCAUAGUAUUACGACCUGGCAUCAGGAUGUAAUUAAAGUCACAACGGUAAAAGAUGAGCAUGCGUCCCAUUAGCUAGUUGGUAAGGUAACGGCUUACCAAGGCUACGAUGGGUAGGGGUCCUGAGAGGGAGAUCCCCCACACUGGUACUGAGACACGGACCAGACUCCUACGGGAGGCAGCAGUGAGGAAUAUUGGACAAUGGGCGCAAGCCUGAUCCAGCCAUGCCGCGUGCAGGAUGACGGUCCUAUGGAUUGUAAACUGCUUUUAUACGAGAAGAAACACUGCUUCGUGAAGCAGCUUGACGGUAUCGUAAGAAUAAGGAUCG